This is an RNA transcript of Canis lupus familiaris (dog), 7093 nucleotides long. It is a transcript of the gene named importin subunit alpha-8-like, with no coding region annotated. The record is from RefSeq and is a predicted model, not a curated record. The transcript has 2 exons. Lineage: Eukaryota; Metazoa; Chordata; Mammalia; Carnivora; Canidae.
UUGAUCUUUCUUUCAAGACUUGGAAAGACACCAACAAAUAGGUAGUCUGUACUUGUAACUGAAACUUAAGUAGUAUAAGCCCACAAACUGUGCAUGAAGAAGCAUAAAUGAUUGUCUACUGAUGGUUUUCCAGCUCCCAGAGCACUGCAUGGCUCUUAAUAUUCUAGUGAACUUUCCCUUUAGACAAAAAAUAGCUCAAGUUAAUAUCUCCUAUUUAAAACCAAGACAGCCUUGACUAAGAUAGCCCUCUAGUUUGGUAGUACUUCUUAUAGAAAUUUAUGUGAAUUUUGUAAACAUGGUUAUACUUUAUGUUGUGGGCAGAGGAGAAGUAGGCGUAAUGGAGAGAAGGUUACUACAUUGGUCAGAGUUUUGAGUUGCAGGCAACAGAUUUCACUGAAGUCAGUCUAAACAGGAAAGGAUAAAUUAAAACAUAUUAGAUAGUUCAUAGAAUCUCUGAACAGAAGAGUUUUGGAGGUUAUGUGACUAAGAACAGAUCAGCCACAUACAACACAUGCAGAAGAAUUGAUCGAUUACAUUAUGGAAUCAUUUUUAGAGGUACCUGUGAUGUUAGGAACUGAUGGCAGAAAUACUUCCACAGCAAACCCAGGAAAAGCCAAAGGCUUUCCUACCAUGUUUAUUAGAAGAACAUGUCUCAUUGUAGGUUCAGCCACUGACUCAAAUUACCUCCACUUCCAAAUUAAUGGUUCCAUGUGUACCUGAAAGCAGUACAUAUAGGUUUUGAUUAACCAGUGAAUCUGCAGAGACCUGGAGGCAAAACAUGGUCAUAAAAGGUGGAGGCCUCAUACCUGGAACAAAUGGUAGGGACCCUGGAGUCCACCAGUGGGUUCCAGCAUAACCCCCACAAGACCAACCAAGAUUAGCCACACCUUGUGGACACCAGCAGAGGGCACUCAGAGACCAGCCCAGACCAAUAAAAAUCUGAAUUCCCACUCCUGACUUCUGUUACUCUUUAGAGGCCAUCUUGGGAAGCAGGGAGAAAAGAGCCCCCUUAAGGGAUUUUGGAGAAUCAAUGCUGAUAGAUUUAACUUUGCAUUGACUGAAUAUUUACCUCAAAUAGAGUAUGUUAAACUGAACGAGAUUUUUCUAAAAGCAGACUGAAGUUUAAGUUUUUAAAAAUUCUCUCUGCUGCUGAGUGGGAAUCGGGCCCCAUAGCAAGUUGAGAUCCAUAACAGAAAAUAACAGAGAACUACAUUUUUUGCACAUCUGAGUUGUAAUGUUUGCAUUUCAACCUCCCUGAAUGCAAACUGGGAAUACUGUAAGCUCCUUUGGAUCAGCAUCUGGUGGUAGUUUGGAAAUGGCUUGGUUGCAUGAUGAUAGUCCCAAAAGGACAAAGGUAGUCUUUUCCUCUUUGUUGGAGCUGACAGUGACAUCAUAAAGAUUCCAAGGUUUCCAGUGGGCCCAGAGAAGACCAAAAGCCUGCUCAGCAGUUUGAAGGGACUCAGUGCCAAAGCUGAGGGAGUAGAUGGUUGAGGUGGAAAGUGGACACACCUCCACCACACCCUUAAUGCCAGCAGGCUGCAGAAGAGUUCCUCAAGUGAAGAAGAGCAUGAACUCUGGAACCAGGUGACCCAGCUAUGAAUCUACUCCAUUCUAUACAGCCUUGAGGAAAUAGCUUAAUUCUCUGACAUUGGUUGCUCAUUUGCUAAAUGGGGAUCCUAAUAGCACUACAUACUAGGAUGUGUGAGUGGUUAUUCUAUAUCAAGUCCUUACACGAAUUCCUGGCACACAAAGAAACUACCAGUAUGGAUUUGCUAUGAUCAUUGCUCUACACAGGAUGAUGCUUCAUGAAGAAAUUAAAACCUGUUAAACUUUUUAAAAAUGUUCCAUGUUUGCUCUGUAUCAUCUGUGCUAUGUAAAUUUUGGACCCUACCACAUACAAAUACUUGGUUCCAACGGAGUCACACCUAAGAGAGCAGCCCCUGGGGGUAGUAUGUCAAAAGUCCUGCUUCAUUCUGGAGGCUAAACUCAGAAACACAGGCUGAAGAAGUCUGUUAUAUGUACCCAUCCACCCCUCUUUCUUUUUUUUUUUUUUUAAGAUUUUAUUUGUUCAUGAGAGACUCAGAGAGAGAGGCAGAGACAUAGGCAGAGGGAGAAGCAGGCUCCAUGCAGGGAGCCCAACGUGGGACUCGAUCCUGAGUCUCCAGGAUCACGACCUGAGCUGAAGACAGAUGCUCAACCACUGAGCCACCCAGGCGUCCCCAUCCACCCCUCUUUAGAGUGAUUUCUGUCUUUUAGCAUUCAGAACCAUUUUCAGCCCAGAAACAACAGACUGCUUCCCUGCCUUGAUCUGACUGACUGUUUUAGUUGCUAUUCUUUUAUCUUCCACAACUGGGUGACGUUGCUCUCUGAAUUUUUAUAGCACUUCAGGGUGAGGGAAGCUAUUGUUACCAGAAGAAUCUUUAAGUGUAUUAUUCAUUCCUUUGAACAGAGAUUUGUUGUUAUUUUAAAAUUCUAAACCUUUGGAGCAGUGAGAAUUUUAGGAGAACAAACUCUUCAAGGUAUAACGAGACUGCAUCUGUGCUAUUAUAAAGUAGAAUCCUACCAUCAAUUGCUUGUGGUAGAGCCUGGUGUUCACAAAACUCAGGUUAGGCUUUUGUCUUAUAUGGGUUGAGGCUAACCGUGCUCCCUGAUCCCUGGCAACAGACUCUCAGGUGGCCACCUAUGGAUUCAUACAGGUAUUUGCUCAUUGAGGAGCUAGUGAGGACAAAUGAGGAACCCAUUAUGUACCACCAUUUGCUAAGUACUUGUCACAUACCAGCACUGUACCAGGCAAUCCUCGUUAGAUAUUAUGUUAGUGUCCUAGGGCUGUAAGAACAAAUUACCAUGAACUUGGUUUGGUGGCUUAAAACAACAGAAGUUUAGGAGUGCCUGGAUGGCUCAGUCCAUUGAUAGAUAAUAGCUCAGGUCUUGAUCUCAGGGUCAUGAGUUCAAGCCCUGCACUGGGCUCUAUGCUGGGUGUGGAGCAUAUUUAAAAACAAAGAAACCAAUCAACAAACAAAAAAACAAAAGUUUAUUUUCACAGUUUUGGAGACUAGAAGUCCAAAAUCAAGGUGUUGGGGCAAGGCCAUGCUCUCUUAAUAGGCCCUAAGGGGGAAUUCUUUGCCUCUUCUGUUCCUUGGGAUGUGGUUGCAUCACUCUAAUUUCGGCCUCUGUGGUCACAUUGUCUUUUCCUCUUCUCUAUGUCUCCUCCUUUUCUGACCCUUAUAAGGACAGCUAUUGGAUUUAGGGGCCAUCCAGAUAAUCCAGGAAGCUCUCAUCUUGGGAUCCUUAAUUUAAUGACAUCUGCAAAGAUCUUUUUCCCAAAUAAGGUCACAUUCACAGGUUCUGGGGUUUAAGACAUGGGUAUAUCUCUUGGGGUACCACCAUUCAAACUACUAUAGAUACCUUUGAAAUUCUCAGAAUUAUACUCUGAAAACAUCAUUGUCUCAAAACUCAACUUCAGAAAGUUUUAAAUUGUUUAGGGUUAUGUUCCUUGUAAGUUACAAUCCUUGUAAAUACAGGAUUGUGUGGUUUCAAAGCUGUUGUUAUUUCUACUGUAUCAUACUAAAAAUAGCAAUAACAGAUACUUAUUGCUGUUGUUUAUCGAAUACCAACUGUAUCAGGUGUACUAGAAAUAUUGUUUCUAAAUUUAAUGAUAAUCCUACAAAUUAGGUCUUUUUAUUCACAAUUUAUAGAUGAGGAAACUGAGGCUCAGCUGAAUUAAAAAGGCUCCAAGUCAUACAUAUAGUAAAUGGUUUGGUUAGAAUUUGAAAUCAAAGGCAAAACAAGUCCAGUGCCACUGGAGAAAUCUUCAAAGCACUGAGGAAACCUACAAAUACUAGGUUAGCAGCAUGACUUUUAGUAGAUGAAGGCUAGGCUAAGUCUCUAAGAAAGGCAUUUAAAAUUCCUAAAACAUUUAGAAUCAGUUUAACCCUAUCUGAUGCAGUGUGGUUUGGGCAUUUUCUACAUUGUGAGUGAAGCAGAGAUUUGAGGCAUUUUCUUUUUUUUUUUCUUCUAGCCCUUAAGCGUAUCUCGGUUGUCAGGUUCUUUCCAUGCUUUGACUUCACCCAGUUAAGGAGGACUGCCUUUGACUUUACAGAAAGCACAGUAACUUCACUUUGAAAAGCACUUUAGUAUUUUCAGAGCUCUAUCUCAUUUAGUUCUUCAAACAGUCCUGAGGUUGGCAGGGUAAGUACUAUUAUCUUCAUUUUACAGUCAAGGAGACCAAGUUUCAAAGUGAGUCGUUACCAGCUAUUUGCUUCGCACAGAGGCAAAAGCGACUUGAGACUGACUGGAAUUCUAAUUCCGUUUUCAGUGCACCAAGCCUAUUUUAGAGUAGAAAAAAAAAUCCAAGGAAAAAAUUAAGGAUAAAUUUGGCUAGUGUCAGCUUUUGGUAGGUUAAAAAGUAGGAAAAAGGUCUCCUUUCCCUCUUCAGUCUUGGGGUGAACUCUUGCAUUUUGGCACUGGUACUCAAAAGUGAUCUGCAGGGGUGCCUGGGUGGCUCAGUCGGUUAAGCAUCUGCCUUUGGCUCAAAUCAUGAUCUCAGAUGUCAGACUUACUGCUCACCAGGGAGUCUGUCUCUCCCUCUCCCUCUGCCUCUCCACCCACCACCUCAUGCUCUCUCUCAAGUAAAUAAAAUCUUUUUAAAAAGUGAUCUGCAAUUGAUAAUUUUUUCUUUCAGAGGGCUCUUUUGGAACCUUAUUCUCCUUGCAAAUAAGAGGGCUGAGUGUGCUUCACUAUGUCCAAAUUGGUGUUUAUAGUCCCAUCCUUAGAUAAUAAAUGUUACUUCAUGAUGCUGAACUUGGUAUUACACAGUUCUGAACCCCUCUUCCAAAGACUGGAGCCAUACAUGAUGAAAUUUUAUGACAAAUCAUAGAAUUGAAAUGAAAAAAAAAUACUCAAGUCAUACUAACUCAGAUAAUAUGCAGAAAUAUCUUUAAGUCACUGGUUCUCAGGCUUCACUUGAGAGGGAAGUGAUUUUCUAAAUAAUGUUGGAGGGAAAAGAGUUUAAUCCAAGGAACAUGACUGCCUGCCAAAAUAAUUAUUCCCUAACUAUGGUAUGAAUGAAUGCUCCUCUUUUCUCUUGAAUCAUUAUUUCCAACUUAAGGCUUAUGCUUCUCCCUAGAUAUCAUGGCCACUGCCCACUUCUAGGACCUUCAGAUACUCAGCUACCAUCUCCUACUUGCUGUCCUAUCCAAUACUGGCUAAGACUGACCAAUAGCUUUUCCUGGCAGCCCUUUGACUCCUCACCUCUAAACUACACACACAUACACACACACACACAGCCAAGCCAACCAACACUUACCUAGAAUUGUUAGCUCUUCCUGUAACCUCCAGACUUAGAUGAAACACCAUACCUUAGGUUGAAGGAUCCAGUGACCCUAGUAGUUGGGGACAUCCCUUGAUAUGUGAGGUAACUAAUUCUCAGUGAGGCCAAUUUUGACCAAUGAGAAACAGGCAGUGGGAGGGAGCUUAGAAGUAAACUCCCUCUUUAGUCCUUCUCAAUGAAUACUAGAGGCAAGAUUUUGCCUUGUACCUUAUUCCAAGAUGUUUCAUGUGCCAGCAAGUACAGACCUGCUGCUGCACUUUGCCUCAUUAUGGCUCAUCACAAAGGAGAGGCUAGUUCUGUCAGGCACUUUUCUUUGCACUACUUCAUAUUCUUCCUUCCCUUCUUUCCUUUUUCCUGCACUUCCCAAAUAAUGUAUCAGCACUUUAAUCCUUGCUUCAGGCUCUGUUUUCUAGAGUAUCUAGGCUAUUUCUUAUUAGAUUGUGAUAGAAUAUGUCCAGUGUGUUGGUAUUCUCACUUCCAAGCACCUCCCUUUCCAGUUUAGUCCAACACACCCUUGAAGCACACACUGAAUGUGGCCUUUGGUGGGACUCCAUUGUCUGUAAAAUAGAGUCUACAUCCCAUCAUUUGGCAUUAACAGCCCUGUAGAUUGGCUCUCAAAGUAAUUUUCCAAUUUUAUUUUCCAUGAUCUUUCAUUUAUACACCCUGUUCUCUGGCCAAACUGAACUACUUAAAACUUUUACCUCAUAUUUUCUGAGCUCCAUGCCCUUAAUCACACUGUUCCCUCAAUCUGUAAUGUCCACACUUACAUCUUCUUUCCACAUGUUUAAAUUCUAUCCAUCAAGGGCAAGCUCAAAUGCCACUUCCUUCUUAGAUUAAUCAUCAAUUUCCUUCUCUUUGCCGCCAACCCACAAAAUUCAAUAAUGUCUCUUUUCUGACCCUCCCCUGUCAUCAUCUUGUCUAUGCUUCUCUAUGGUGCUUCCUACUUUUUACCUUACAUUAUAGUAUCUUGAUAUAUUUGCUUUCCCCAAUUAAACCAUAAGCUCUUUAGGGGCAUAUCUGACUUAUUUGUUUCUCUGACACAUAACAUGGUAACUUGCAUAUAAUUGGUGCUUAGGAAAAUUUCAUGAAAUGAAUAAACAGUCCAAACAUUAUAUAAAAGUAUAGGAUUAUAGCUUAAAACCAAAUAAAUUAAAAUAUUUCUUAUCUCAAGCCCUAGAUUCUUGUCUUUUCAGGGAUAUACAAAAGAAAGAAAAGGCCACAGAGAUGCUUCUAUUUGUAAAUUGAAAGGUCAAGAGAUAUUAAUAGUGAGAAUGCUGUGGUUUUCUGCCUGGGGCCAUAAAACAGAACAUGCCAAAGCAUUUUGCUGACCUUGGACAGUUGGCUAAGACACAUUACCAAAUGAUCUAGCUUCUUAAGAAAUAAUUAAUAUACAAGGUUUCUGAAUAAUUAUUCCUUCUGAAAAUGGAGGAAAAUUUUGAUUUAAAAAAUUUGAGGCUGAGGGUAUCUUUAUAGUUCUUUUAUAUCAUUAUAAAGUCUAACAGGUUAAAGCCUACAGCAAAAAAAAUAGCUACACAGAAAAUAUAUAAACUUUUAAACAUAAUAUUUCUAGUCACUCUGUAUUAAUCACUUCUCAGAUGAGUGAAAUCUUCAUAGGAAGAACAGGCAAAAUCAUUGUCUGAGGAGAUUCAUGGGUGGCUCAGCAGAAGCUCAGGGCAUGAUCCUGGAGUCCCGGGAUGGAGUCCCAGAUCGUCCUCCCUGCAGGGAACCUGCUUCUCCCUCUGCCUGUGUCUCUGCCUCUCUCUC